UACGUAGGGUGCAAGCGUUGUCCGGAAUUAUUGGGCGUAAAGAGCUUGUAGGCGGUUUGUCGCGUCUGCUGUGAAAUUUCGGGGCUCAACCCCGAACUUGCAGUGGAUACGGGCAGACUAGAGUGCGGUAGGGGAGACUGGAAUUCCUGGUGUAGCGGUGGAAUGCGCAGAUAUCAGGAGGAGCACCGGUGGCGAAGGCGGGUCUCUGGGCAACAACUGACGCUGAGGAGCGAAAGCGUGGGGAGCGAACAGG
RNAcentral lists this ribosomal RNA (253 nucleotides) under uncultured bacterium. RNAcentral describes it as "partial 16S ribosomal RNA". It matches the Rfam family "Bacterial small subunit ribosomal RNA", at positions 524 to 776 of the family's 1533-position model. The record is from RNAcentral.